AUGACGGCUAGUAGUGUUUUUUGCUCCUGGACACCAUUUUCUAUUCUGAUCCACGUUACUGCAUUGUUAGGCUCUAAUGUACAUGUUGUGUAGGUCUUAAUACCUAUUUGGGAACUGCAUUAGCUAAAGCAGGAGGAGAGCAUCUUCCAGCAUCUCCCACUCUUUGGAUGAGCAUCCUACACAUAAGGGAACAGUUUCCAGCACAUUCUUCUCCAUCAGCAGUAUGAUGGGAUGUUAUUGUGCAUUCUGUGAACGUGUGCUAGUAUUGCACAGAGAAGCAGACUUGUGAGCUUUCAGGAUGUCGUGAUUUUCGCAGGUGCCUGGGAGCUCUGGAAUUCGUCUCUACUUUUGUGUUUAGCUAAGAUUGAGACCUUCAAAUUUGAGCAACUAUUUAUUUCCAAAAUAAAAUACUUCUGCAUGGCCUCUUUAGGUCCUAUUCUCACCUCAGGGAAAGAAUUAACUUCCAGAAGAAAGGAAACAGAGUAAGGUGGAAACUGGGAAGGACAAGAGGAGUACUAUCCCCUGUGUGACAAAUUGCAUUCAUGGUAUCAGGAUCAAAGACCAGGUGUCCUCACUAUGCUCCAAAUAGGCUGUUGCUAAAGAUACCCCAUGCUUAUUCAAGUACUUCCCUUUAUGAAUAAAGGGAAGGCUGACUCCACUGAGUACAUCUUUGCAGAACAAUAGUAUAACUGCUAAGAAUUUAGCAUAUCUCUUCUAAAAGGUAAGCUUUGUUUUAGUGUCAAAUUAAACUUGAGGAAACACAGUGUUCAAAAAAAGUUAAUCUCAGAGCUUUGAAAGACAAAUCUAUCUUCACCUACUUGCUAAAAGAAUAUACUGGAGUUCAGAAUUUAAUACUUUAAUAUAUAUAAAAAAAUGAAGCAAACAAUAGAGGAAGAAAAUUUCUAGUGAUGAUCAUUAAUAGCCAAAGCAAUUAUCACUUCCUUUAACAUAUGAUAUAAUAACAUUUUUAGUUGGGGGGGAAGGGGGAGAGAGACGAAAAGAAAAAGCCAUUAAGGAGUGCUUUAUACAAUAAGUACUUUACAAACAAUGAUGGAAAUCAGCUCCUUCUGAUAGGAUCUCAGUGGCUUAGCAGAAGCACCUGUAAGCAUUUACCCAUGGUGAGGAGUUUGCGCUGAAAAAGCAUUGCAGUUGCUGAAGUCUUGGCUAUACUGCACUGCUGGUCUGUCCUCAGCUGUCAGUGAGAUUUCAGAGUGCAGUCUUAAAACUUGUGGUGGAGCUGGAAAAAGAGAUAUUUUUUAUGGACUAGGUGAGAAAUUUAGGAAAAAACCCCACCAAAUUUUAGAAGUGUUCUUAUCAAAUGUGAGUUGUGUUUCCGCCAGAUCUUGCCCCUGAGGCAAUCGUGGCGAGCUGCAAGAAGUCAAAGUGUUUUAUGAGGUGUUACAUGCCUGAAGGUUGAAACUGCAUUUGGUUGUAAGAAUAUUCUGGUAUAGAUUGUAGAAACAGAAUUCUUUAGAAAUAUUGAUUAUUAAAAAUGAGACAAUUUAGAAAUCUAGAAAAUGUGAUGGCCAAUACAGAAGAAACAAAAAAUUGCUAUAAUUUUGACAGAUAUCAUCCAUUUAGAUCUUUUGAUUUGUGUUCUCCAGCAUCUUGGUACUACUUGGUAAUACAAGAAGUCUAUAAAUUUCCAAUGCAAUAUAAAUCUUUCUUUCAGU
Long non-coding RNA from Neopsephotus bourkii (Bourke's parrot), 1673 nucleotides. RefSeq lists it as uncharacterized. The record is from RefSeq and is a predicted model, not a curated record. The transcript has 3 exons. NCBI's taxonomy places the organism in Eukaryota, Metazoa, Chordata, Aves, Psittaciformes, Psittacidae.